Molecule: non-coding RNA, 151 nt
Filed under: Paenibacillus yonginensis
Lineage: Bacteria; Bacillati; Bacillota; Bacilli; Caryophanales; Paenibacillaceae
Description: FMN sequence
Rfam family: FMN riboswitch aptamer (RFN element)
About the family: The RFN element is a highly conserved domain that is found frequently in the 5'-untranslated regions of prokaryotic mRNAs that encode for flavin mononucleotide (FMN) biosynthesis and transport proteins. This element is a metabolite-dependent riboswitch that directly binds FMN in the absence of proteins.
Source: Rfam by way of RNAcentral
AAGGAUCUUCGGGGUAAGGUGAAAUUCCUAACCGGCGGUGAUGCUCACCUACAGAGCUCAGCCCGCGACUCGCUGCUGCCGAACUGGCAGCAGCGACUGACUUGGUGCAAAUCCAAGGCCGACGGUAAAGUCCGGAUGGAAGAAGAUCAUC